AUUGAACGCUGGCGGCAGGCCUAACACAUGCAAGUCGAACGGUAACAGGAAACAGCUUGCUGUUUCGCUGACGAGUGGCGGACGGGUGAGUAAUGUCUGGGAAACUGCCUGAUGGAGGGGGAUAACUACUGGAAACGGUAGCUAAUACCGCAUAACGUCGCAAGACCAAAGAGGGGGACCUUCGGGCCUCUUGCCAUCGGAUGUGCCCAGAUGGGAUUAGCUUGUUGGUGGGGUAACGGCUCACCAAGGCGACGAUCCCUAGCUGGUCUGAGAGGAUGACCAGCCACACUGGAACUGAGACACGGUCCAGACUCCUACGGGAGGCAGCAGUGGGGAAUAUUGCACAAUGGGCGCAAGCCUGAUGCAGCCAUGCCGCGUGUAAGAAGAAGGCCUUCGGGUUGUAAAGUACUUUCAGCGGGGAGGAAGGGAGUAAAGUUAAUACCUUUGCUCAUUGACGUUACCCGCAGAAGAAGCACCGGCUAACUCCGUGCCAGCAGCCGCGGUAAUACGGAGGGUGCAAGCGUUAAUCGGAAUUACUGGGCGUAAAGCGCACGCAGGCGGUUUGUUAAGUCAGAUGUGAAAUCCCCGGGCUCAACCUGGGAACUGCAUCUGAUACUGGCAAGCUUGAGUCUCGUAGAGGGGGGUAGAAUUCCAGGUGUAGCGGUGAAAUGCGUAGAGAUCUGGAGGAAUACCGGUGG
Molecule: ribosomal RNA, 698 nt
Filed under: uncultured Pseudomonadota bacterium
Lineage: Bacteria; Pseudomonadati; Pseudomonadota
Description: bacterial SSU rRNA
Rfam family: Bacterial small subunit ribosomal RNA
Source: RNAcentral